This 437-nucleotide ribosomal RNA is filed under the name uncultured Oscillospiraceae bacterium. Its description in RNAcentral is "bacterial SSU rRNA". It matches the Rfam family "Bacterial small subunit ribosomal RNA", at positions 341 to 792 of the family's 1533-position model. The record is from RNAcentral. Lineage: Bacteria; Bacillati; Bacillota; Clostridia; Eubacteriales; Oscillospiraceae.
ACGGAAGGCAGCAGUGGGGAAUAUUGGGCAAUGGGCGAAAGCCUGACCCAGCAACGCCGCGUGAAGGAAGAAGGUCUUCGGAUUGUAAACUUCUUUUAUAAGGGACGAAGGAAGUGACGGUACCUUAUGAAUAAGCCACGGCUAACUGCGUGCCAGCAGCCGCGGUAAUACGUAGGUGGCAAGCGUUAUCCGGAUUUACUGGGUGUAAAGGGCGCGUAGGCGGGGAUGCAAGUCAGAUGUGAAAUCUAUGGGCUCAACCCAUAAACUGCAUUUGAAACUGUAUUUCUUGAGUGCUGGAGAGGUAGAUGGAAUUCCUUGUGUAGCGGUGAAAUGCGUAGAUAUAAGGAGGAACACCAGUGGCGAAGGCGGCUUACUGGACUGUAACUGACACUGAGGCUCGAAAGCGUGGGGAGCAAACAGGAUUAGAUACCCUGGUA